RNAcentral lists this ribosomal RNA (478 nucleotides) under uncultured bacterium. RNAcentral describes it as "partial 16S ribosomal RNA". It matches the Rfam family "Bacterial small subunit ribosomal RNA", at positions 28 to 523 of the family's 1533-position model. The record is from RNAcentral.
GACGAACGCUGGCGGCGUGCUUAACACAUGCAAGUCGAACGGUAAGGCCCUUCGGGGUACACGAGUGGCGAACGGGUGAGUAACACGUGGGUGAUCUGCCCUGCACUUCGGGAUAAGCCUGGGAAACUGGGUCUAAUACCGGAUAGGACCCUGGGAUGCAUGUCCUGGGGUGGAAAGCUUUUGCGGUGUGGGAUGGGCCCGCGGCCUAUCAGCUUGUUGGUGGGGUGAUGGCCUACCAAGGCGACGACGGGUAGCCGGCCUGAGAGGGUGACCGGCCACACUGGGACUGAGAUACGGCCCAGACUCCUACGGGAGGCAGCAGUGGGGAAUAUUGCACAAUGGGCGCAAGCCUGAUGCAGCGACGCCGCGUGAGGGAUGACGGCCUUCGGGUUGUAAACCUCUUUCAGCACCGACGAAGCGCAAGUGACGGUAGGUGCAGAAGAAGGACCGGCUAACUUCGUGCCAGCAGCCGCAGUAA